GAUGAACGCUGGCGGCGUGCCUAAUACAUGCAAGUCGAACGCUGGAAAUCUAGCUUGCUAGAUUGAAGGAGUGGCGAACGGGUGAGUAAUACAUAAGCAACCUACCCACGAAGACUGGGAUAAUCUCUGGAAACGGGGACUAAUACCGGAUAGGUAAUCGGAAGGCAUCUUCUGAUUAUUAAAGGUUAAAAACACUGGUGGAUGGGCUUAUGGCGCAUUAGUCAGUUGGUGAGGUAACGGCCCACCAAGACGAUGAUGCGUAGCCGGCCUGAGAGGGUGAACGGCCACAUUGGGACUGAGACACGGCCCAGACUCCUACGGGAGGCAGCAGUAGGGAAUUUUCGGCAAUGGGGGAAACCCUGACCGAGCAACGCCGCGUGAGUGAUGACGGCCUUCGGGUUGUAAAGCUCUGUUGUAAGGGAAGAACGGUAGAUAGAGAAUAUCUAAAUGACGGUACCUUACCAGAAAGCCACGGCUAACUACGUG
This 486-nucleotide ribosomal RNA is filed under the name uncultured bacterium. RNAcentral's name for it is "partial 16S ribosomal RNA". It matches the Rfam family "Bacterial small subunit ribosomal RNA", at positions 28 to 507 of the family's 1533-position model. The record is from RNAcentral.